This is a non-coding RNA of Salmo salar (Atlantic salmon), 54 nucleotides long. The record is from Rfam. NCBI's taxonomy places the organism in Eukaryota, Metazoa, Chordata, Actinopteri, Salmoniformes, Salmonidae.
UGCAUUCACUAUUGUAAGUCGCUCUGGAUAAGAGCAUCUGCCAAAUGACUAACA